RNAcentral lists this transfer-messenger RNA (331 nucleotides) under Clostridium paridis. It matches the Rfam family "transfer-messenger RNA". From Rfam's summary of the family: Bacterial tmRNA, also known as 10Sa RNA or SsrA, is named for its dual tRNA and mRNA-like properties. Its role is to liberate the mRNA from a stalled ribosome. To accomplish this part of the tmRNA is used as a reading frame that ends in a translation stop signal. Lineage: Bacteria; Bacillati; Bacillota; Clostridia; Eubacteriales; Clostridiaceae. The record is from RNAcentral.
UAUGGCUUCGACGGGGGUAAGAUGGGUUUGAUAAGCGAGCCGGGGGAAGCAUGGUCCCACGAGAUCAACUAUGCAAUAAAGAUAAACGCAGAAGAUAAUUUUGCAUUAGCUGCCUAGUUAGCAGCUCGUCAGCCUAAGCUUCCCGCAGCUUAGAAUCUGGCGCCGAUAGCGGGGAACCGAGCCUGCCAAAGCUUUGAGGUAGGAACGGAAUUUAUGAAGCUACUGAAGCAAGAAGCCUGUCUAUAGGCGUCUUGUAGAGGGAAUGUUAAACUAUAGACUGCGCUCGGAGAAAGUCAGGCUGGUCUGCUUUCGGACAGGGGUUCGAUUCGUA